RNAcentral lists this ribosomal RNA (200 nucleotides) under uncultured archaeon. RNAcentral describes it as "partial 16S ribosomal RNA". It matches the Rfam family "Archaeal small subunit ribosomal RNA", at positions 543 to 742 of the family's 1478-position model. The record is from RNAcentral.
CGGGAAAUCCACUCGCCUAACGAGUGGGCGUCCGGCGGAAACUACAGGGCUUGGGACCGGAAGACUUGAGGGGUACGUCUGGGGUAGGAGUGAAAUCCUGUAAUCCUGGACGGACCGCCGAUAGCGAAAGCACCUCAAGACGACGGAUCCGACAGUGAGGGACGAAAGCUAGGGUCUCGAACCGGAUUAGAUACCCGGGU